AAAUUAUAAAAUUCAGGCAACGUAUAGAAACCACAUGGAAUGUUUCUUGUUCUACAUGUCAAAUUGCCGAUUUUAAAUCUUUUUUUUUGCCAUAACUAUUUCUCAUAUAUAGCUAGAGUCGAGAUUUUUAUCAUACUAACAUUUUCAAAAUUUUGCUCGUCAGUAUUCAUAGAACUGGAGCAAUCAGGUGUAUUACGCUAGGAAUGAUAACUUAGACUUGCACAUCAUGCAGGA
This 234-nucleotide unclassified non-coding RNA is filed under the name Hevea brasiliensis (rubber tree). Lineage: Eukaryota; Viridiplantae; Streptophyta; Magnoliopsida; Malpighiales; Euphorbiaceae. The record is from RNAcentral.